UACGUAGGCAGCGAGCGUUUGUUCGGAGUUACUGGGCGUAAAGGGUGUGUAGGCGGUCCUCUAAGUUUGGUGUGAAAUCUCCCGGCUCAACCGGGAGGGUGCGCCGAAAACUGGGGGGCUAGAGUGCGGGAUGGGUAAGUGGAAUUCCUGGUGUAGCGGUGAAAUGCGUAGAUAUCAGGAGGAACACCUGUGGUGUAGACGGCUUACUGGACCGCAACUGACGCUGAGACACGAAAGCGUGGGUAGCAAACAGG
This 254-nucleotide ribosomal RNA is filed under the name uncultured bacterium. Its description in RNAcentral is "partial 16S ribosomal RNA". It matches the Rfam family "Bacterial small subunit ribosomal RNA", at positions 524 to 776 of the family's 1533-position model. The record is from RNAcentral.